Molecule: ribosomal RNA, 253 nt
Filed under: uncultured bacterium
Lineage: Bacteria
Description: partial 16S ribosomal RNA
Rfam family: Bacterial small subunit ribosomal RNA
Source: RNAcentral
UACGUAGGGGGCAAGCGUUGUCCGGAUUUAUUGGGCGUAAAGAGCGUGUAGGCGGCCAGAUAGGUCUGUUGUGAAAACUGGAGGCUUAACCUUCAGACGUCGAUGGAAACCAUCUGGCUAGAGUCCGGAAGAGGAGAAUGGAAUUCCUGGUGUAGCGGUGAAAUGCGCAGAUAUCAGGAAGAACACCCGUGGCGAAGGCGGUUCUCUGGGACGGUACUGACGCUGAGACGCGAAAGCGUGGGGAGCGAACAGG